AGGGUUUGAUCCUGGCUCAGAACGAACGCUGGCGGCGUGGUUAAGACAUGCAAGUCGAACGCGAACGUUCCCUUCGGGGAAUCAGUAGAGUGGCGAACCGGUGAGGAAUACAUGGGUAACGUACCCCAGGCACAGGGAUAGCUGCGGGAAACCGCAGGUAAUACCUGAUGAGACCACGGUAUCACAUGGUACAGCGGUCAAAGGGCGGGGACCCCGACUUGUCGGGGCCUGCCGGCCCGGGAGCGGCCCAUGUCCUAUCGGCUUGUUGGUGAGGUAACGGCCCACCAAGGCGACGACGGGUAGCGGGACUGAGAGGUUGGCCCGCCACAUUGGGACUGAGACACUGCCCAGACUCCUACGGGAGGCUGCAGUAACGAAUAUUGGACUAAUGCGCGAAAGCGUGAUCCAGCGACGCCGCGUGUGGGAUGAAGUCCUUCGGGAUGUAAACCACUGUCAGGGAUUACCAAGCGAUGAGGGUUAAUAGCCCUCUGAGUUGAGGAUUCCCACAGGAAGCCACGGCUAACUUCGUGCCAGCAGCCGCGGUAAUACGAAGGUGGCGAGCGUUGUUCGGAAUCACUGGGCUUAAAGAGCACGUAGGCGGACCGCCAAGCGUCUUGUGAAAGCCCCCGGCUCAACCGGGGAAUUGCAGGGCGAACUGACGGUCUUGAGGCAGGUAGGGGCGAGUGGAACUCUUGGUGGAGCGGUGGAAUGCGUAGAUAUCAAGAGGAACGCCGGUGGCGAAGGCGACUCGCUGGGCCUGUCCUGACGCUGAGGUGCGAAAGCCAGGGUAGCAAACGGGAUUAGAUACCCCGGUAGUCCUGGCCCUAAACGAUGUCCACUAGGUCGGAGGUUUUCUGACAAAGUUCCGGGCCGAAACAAAAGCGAUAAGUGGACCGCCU
This 899-nucleotide ribosomal RNA is filed under the name uncultured bacterium. RNAcentral describes it as "bacterial SSU rRNA". It matches the Rfam family "Bacterial small subunit ribosomal RNA", at positions 9 to 873 of the family's 1533-position model. The record is from RNAcentral.